RNAcentral lists this ribosomal RNA (250 nucleotides) under uncultured bacterium. RNAcentral's name for it is "partial 16S ribosomal RNA". It matches the Rfam family "Bacterial small subunit ribosomal RNA", at positions 524 to 773 of the family's 1533-position model. The record is from RNAcentral.
UACGGAGGGUGCAAGCGUUGUUCGGAAUUACUGGGCGUAAAGCGCGUGUAGGCGGCUUCUUAAGUCUGGUGUGAAAGCCCGGGGCUCACCCCCGGAAGUGCAUUGGAUACUGGGAAGCUAGAGUACCGGAGAGGAAGGUGGAAUUCCUGGUGUAGCGGUGAAAUGCGUAGAUAUCAGGAGGAACACCGGUGGCGAAGGCGACCUUCUGGACGGAUACUGACGCUGAGACGCGAAAGCGUGGGGAGCAAAC